Long non-coding RNA from Glycine soja, 598 nucleotides. RefSeq lists it as uncharacterized. The record is from RefSeq and is a predicted model, not a curated record. The transcript is spliced from 4 exons. NCBI's taxonomy places the organism in Eukaryota, Viridiplantae, Streptophyta, Magnoliopsida, Fabales, Fabaceae.
UGUUUCUCCUCCUUUAUUCUUUUGCGUUUGUCCAUAUUUUGUUUCACGUCAAUAUUCUAUUUUUUCCCUUUUUUGUCUAAUUAUUUGUGGUUUGAUUUUUACGACAGUCUAACGACGGUACUGAAGGUUACAACGCUUUGCCCAUGGAAGAGUUGGGAUAGGCUAUUGAAGAAUAAAGGCUAACGAUGGUGUUGAAGGUUACAGUUUCUGGAUUCUCGUAAUACAAAAGUUUGCAUUUUUUUUUGUUGCUAAGGCUUCUCCAACGUGCUCAUUGCUUCCUAUGCCCAUUUUUUGUGUUGUGUAAUGGUUCAAUAUAUUUUUUAGCAUGUUGUAUGCACAGAAGGCGGAAGAACAUAUUAAAGCUGCGAUUUUUAUCUCAAAAACUUCAUGAGUACAGAGAAGUUGGAAGAACACAUUAAAGAUGUCAUUUUUAUCUCAAAAACUCCAUGACUACAGAGAAGGUGAAAGAACAUUAAAGUUGCGAUUUUUAUCCCAAAAACUUCAUGAGUGUAGGUUCGUAAACAUAAAAACUUUACUUUUUUUGGGUGUGCUGCCUUUAUUUUGUUUUCUACAUGGGUACAGGUUCGUAACGACAGUG